AGAGUUUGAUCCUGGCUCAGGAUGAACGCCGGCGGUGUGCCUAAUACAUGCAAGUCGUACGCACUGGCCCAACUGAUUGAUGGUGCUUGCACCUGAUUGACGAUGGAUCACCAGUGAGUGGCGGACGGGUGAGUAACACGUAGGUAACCUGCCUCGGAGCGGGGGAUAACAUUUGGAAACAGAUGCUAAUACCGCAUAACAACAAAAGCCACAUGGCUUUUGUUUGAAAGAUGGCUUUGGCUAUCACUCUGGGAUGGACCUGCGGUGCAUUAGCUAGUUGGUAAGGUAACGGCUUACCAAGGCAAUGAUGCAUAGCCGAGUUGAGAGACUGAUCGGCCACAAUGGAACUGAGACACGGUCCAUACUCCUACGGGAGGCAGCAGUAGGGAAUCUUCCACAAUGGGCGCAAGCCUGAUGGAGCAACACCGCGUGAGUGAAGAAGGGUUUCGGCUCGUAAAGCUCUGUUGUUGGAGAAGAACGUGCGUGAGAGUAACUGUUCACGCAGUGACGGUAUCCAACCAGAAAGUCACGGCUAACUACGUGCCAGCAGCCGCGGUAAUACGUAGGUGGCAAGCGUUAUCCGGAUUUAUUGGGCGUAAAGCGAGCGCAGGCGGUUGCUUAGGUCUGAUGUGAAAGCCUUCGGCUUAACCGAAGAAGUGCAUCGGAAACCGGGCGACUUGAGUGCAGAAGAGGACAGUGGAACUCCAUGUGUAGCGGUGGAAUGCGUAGAUAUAUGGAAGAACACCAGUGGCGAAGGCGGCUGUCUGGUCUGCAACUGACGCUGAGGCUCGAAAGCAUGGGUAGCGAACAGGAUUAGAUACCCUGGUAGUCCAUGCCGUAAACGAUGAGUGCUAGGUGUUGGAGGGUUUCCGCCCUUCAGUGCCGGAGCUAACGCAUUAAGCACUCCGCCUGGGGAGUACGACCGCAAGGUUGAAACUCAAAGGAAUUGACGGGGGCCCGCACAAGCGGUGGAGCAUGUGGUUUAAUUCGAAGCUACGCGAAGAACCUUACCAGGUCUUGACAUCUUGCGCUAACCUUAGAGAUAAGGCGUUCCCUUCGGGGACGCAAUGACAGGUGGUGCAUGGUCGUCGUCAGCUCGUGUCGUGAGAUGUUGGGUUAAGUCCCGCAACGAGCGCAACCCUUGUUACUAGUUGCCAGCAUUAAGUUGGGCACUCUAGUGAGACUGCCGGUGACAAACCGGAGGAAGGUGGGGACGACGUCAGAUCAUCAUGCCCCUUAUGACCUGGGCUACACACGUGCUACAAUGGACGGUACAACGAGUCGCAAGCUCGCGAGAGUAAGCUAAUCUCUUAAAGCCGUUCUCAGUUCGGACUGUAGGCUGCAACUCGCAUACACGAAGUCGGAAUCGCUAGUAAUCGCGGAUCAGCAUGCCGCGGUGAAUACGUUCCCGGGCCUUGCACUCACCGCCCGUCA
Molecule: ribosomal RNA, 1434 nt
Filed under: uncultured bacterium
Lineage: Bacteria
Description: bacterial SSU rRNA
Rfam family: Bacterial small subunit ribosomal RNA
Source: RNAcentral